ACCGUAUAGGGGAGCCGUAGGGAAACCGAGUCUUAACCGGGCGUUAAGUUGCAGGGUAUAGACCCGAAACCCGGUGAUCUAGCCAUGGGCAGGUUGAAGGUUGGGUAACACUAACUGGAGGACCGAACCGACUAAUGUUGAAAAAUUAGCGGAUGACCUGUGGCUGGGGGUGAAAGGCCAAUCAAACCGGGAGAUAGCUGGUUCUCCCCGAAAGCUAUUUAGGUAGCGCCUCGUGAACUCAUCUCCGGGGGUAGAGC
Molecule: ribosomal RNA, 257 nt
Filed under: Salmonella enterica subsp. enterica serovar Kentucky
Lineage: Bacteria; Pseudomonadati; Pseudomonadota; Gammaproteobacteria; Enterobacterales; Enterobacteriaceae
Description: partial 23S ribosomal RNA
Rfam family: Bacterial large subunit ribosomal RNA
Source: RNAcentral